Molecule: ribosomal RNA, 348 nt
Filed under: uncultured Bacillus sp.
Lineage: Bacteria; Bacillati; Bacillota; Bacilli; Caryophanales; Bacillaceae
Description: bacterial SSU rRNA
Rfam family: Bacterial small subunit ribosomal RNA
Source: RNAcentral
UGGCUCAGAAGAAACGCUGGCGGCGUGCUCAAUACAUGCAAGUCGAGCGAAUUAAUAGGAGCUUGCUCCUGUUGGUUAGCGGCGGACGGGUGAGUAACACGUGGGCAACCUGCCUGUAAGACUGGGAUAACACCGGGAAACCGGUGCUAAUACCGGAUAAUUCUUCACCUCUCAUGAGGUGAAGCUGAAAGUCGGUUUCGGCUGACACUUACAGAUGGGCCCGCGGCGCAUUAGCUAGUUGGUGAGGUAACGGCUCACCAAGGCGACGAUGCGUAGCCGACCUGAGAGGGUGAUCGGCCACACUGGGACUGAGACACGGCCCAGACUCCUACGGGAGGCAGCAGUGGG